GUCACAAGACGCACAUUCCAAACCCAGACAACCUCCACUUCGCCCCAACCCGAGGGUUUUGCUGUCGGCCACCGGCGAUGGAGAGGCCCUCUUCCCUUGAGGCCGAGCUCGCCGCCAAGUCCUCCCGCAUCGCGGACCUCGAGGCUAGGGUCUCGCUCCUCGAAGCCGAGAACGCGCGCUUGAGGAAGGCCAUGGUCAAGGUAGGAGCAGAGGAUCAUAUAGGCGAACAAGAUCCAAUAUUUGGUCGAUUGGAGGAGAGUUUGGUCGGAAACAAGCAAGAAGCAGUCGAGAUGGUGGGCGGGGCCGUGGCCUGCGGUGUUAUUGAGGUCAGUGACAGCGAGGAGGGCAUGGCCGUCGAAGCCAACAGUGGGAGAAACCUGGAGGAGGGCGUUGUUGCCGUCCCGACUCCUCGGAAGCGUGCGGUGCGGGUGGUGAGCGGAGAGAGCGAGGAUGAAGACGAUUUGGAGGACGCUGAGGGAGGCAGUGGAAGCGACAAGAACAGUGUGGAUCUGGAGGAUGAUGAUGUUUCGAUCAAGACGCGGGGUAAGAAGCGUGCGACAGCACGGAUGAUCACCAGCGAUAGUGAGGAUGAGGAUGUGAGCGGGGCUGGGCGUGGGAGUGGCAAGGAUGAGGGUGGUACUCUCAGUAGGAAGCGUGUGUUGCGUGGAGUGACUGAAAGCGAGAAUGAGGACGGCGAUGAGGGGGUUCAUGUGGCUCCUUCACGUGUAGCUGCGACACAGAUUCAGAGUGGGGAGGAGGACGAGGGUGAUAGGAUUCCCAUUUGUCAAGUGCUCAAGAAGAUGAGGAAAGAGAGGGUGAGUGAUGAUGAAUUGGGUGAGCCAAAAGGGUGUUCUACUCCCGCAACAAGGCGCUCGGCUCGCUUGGUUAAAAAUCAGUCCAAAAUGGGGCGAGCCGCACGCCGGGCUCUCGACUUUGUUGAACCCAAGGAAUAUGAAGGGAGUGAAGAUGAUAUGGAAGAAGGCAAUGAUAUGGAUGAGUUCAUAAAUGAUGAGGAUUCUUCAGAAAAUGCCAGUGAUUCUGCCGAAGAAUCCUGUCCUGGACCAGAAGUGUCUAGUGCAUCUUCUCUGAAUGAAGAAUCCUCUCCAGAACCAGAAGAGUCUGAUAGUGAGAUAAAUUAUGAAGAUGUUAUAGCUUGCAUAGGCCGUAAAAAGAAAUCUAAUGAUUGGAGAUUUGAGGGAGAAAUGCUAACAGCAUUUCAUGAACACCCUGAGCUUUGUUUGAAAGCUGUUUGUGCCCUCUAUCGGAAGCAAACCAAGGAUGAGCAGUUGGACAAGUCCACUUUUAUUCAUAACAAACAGGGGUUUAACCAGAUACAUGCCCGAAGGGCAUCUUGCAUUGCGGAGUUUCUUCUGGAUGGUGAUCCAUAUGGUCCACUUAAGAAGACAGUCCGUGAUUUGGAAGCGUAUGAUUGUUAUGCUCUUGAGUUCUGUCGCAUGGUGGCUUCACAUUACUCAAAACAACUGUUUGCAAUUUAUCAGAACAAGGAGGACCCCUACUUUCUUCCAUAGCUCUGAAAGGCGUCAUUGCACCAAGAACUGAUUGUGCCUUCCCUUUCUAAGUAUCUAGCGCAUGGACCACCUUAACCGGCACCACUCGUUUCCUGUCCAGCUAGAAGUUUUAACCGAUUCACACAUGAUUCAGCACUGUUUGGCGUGUGAACUCCGUGUGUGCUGGGACAUGUGCUGAUAAGCUGAACCUUCCGGGGAGUCUCUUUCAAUGUUGCAGCAUCGAGUUGGUUACAAGUUGCUUUGCGGUGCUUGACAAGUUGCAAAUUGGAAGGCGCAUUGUCAAGAUAUCAACGGCACGUGAUAGUGAUACCUUCGUUCCCUAAGAAAAGCUACUACUAGUAGUUGUUGUAUGUAUUCCCUGAUGCAAUGCAACGAAAGCCAUAUUGUAUGGACAGAUAACUGCUGCAGAGAUGACUAGACGUCGCCGGGGUGGAGCAAGACAGGGAGAUAUUAGCCUGUCAAUCUGUGUCCCCAGCCCACAAGAGCACCGCACUAUCUCUGUACUACCCGAAUACAACUUGACUUGUUGGUCCUCGCAAUGGUACUGAUUGUGCUUGGAACAUGUGCAUCUGAUCGUCUGGAUGGAACCAAUAGACU
Molecule: RNA transcript, 2126 nt
Organism: Phragmites australis (common reed)
Lineage: Eukaryota; Viridiplantae; Streptophyta; Magnoliopsida; Poales; Poaceae
Exons: 4
Source: RefSeq, a predicted model, not a curated record